UCCUGGAGUGCAUAGGUGUGGUAUCC
RNAcentral lists this small RNA (26 nucleotides) under Bombyx mori (domestic silkworm). RNAcentral describes it as "ovarian small RNA-27937". Lineage: Eukaryota; Metazoa; Arthropoda; Insecta; Lepidoptera; Bombycidae. The record is from RNAcentral.